UACGAAGGGGGCUAGCGUUGUUCGGAAUUACUGGGCGUAAAGCGCGCGCAGGCGGUCUUCCAAGUCAGGGGUGAAAGCCUGGAGCUCAACUCCAGAACUGCCAUUGAAACUGUUAGACUUGAGUACGAGAGAGGUGAGUGGAAUUCCCAGUGUAGAGGUGAAAUUCGUAGAUAUUGGGAAGAACACCAGUGGCGAAGGCGGCUCUCUGGCUCGUAACUGACGCUCAGGCGCGACAGCGUGGGGAUCAAACAGG
This 253-nucleotide ribosomal RNA is filed under the name uncultured bacterium. RNAcentral's name for it is "partial 16S ribosomal RNA". It matches the Rfam family "Bacterial small subunit ribosomal RNA", at positions 524 to 776 of the family's 1533-position model. The record is from RNAcentral.